Molecule: ribosomal RNA, 243 nt
Filed under: uncultured bacterium
Lineage: Bacteria
Description: partial small subunit ribosomal RNA
Rfam family: Bacterial small subunit ribosomal RNA
Source: RNAcentral
AGAAUCAACGCUGGCGGCGUGCCUAACACAUGCAAGUCGAACGAGAAAGGGAUUUCGGUCCUGAGUAUAGUGGCGCACGGGUGAGUAACACGUGAAUAAUCUACCUCCGAGUGGGGAAUAACUGAGAGAAAUCUUAGCUAAUACCGCAUAACACUUACGAGUCAAAGCAGCAAUGCGCUUGAAGAGGAGUUCGCGGCCGAUUAGUUAGUUGCGGGGUAAUGGCCACCAAGACGAUGAUCGGUA